UUUCUAAUUCCUUAAGCGCUUUGAGAAACCUUCCCCUGAUUGUCUCUUUCGGCCUUCUCAGGUUGCCGGCGAUCUUCCCCAGUCAAUUGUUCUUGUCUCUUGUAUGCAGUUGCAGGUGGAUUUCCUUGCUCCUCUAUUGAUUUUAUGAUUCCCCCUUUGUUUCUUGUCUUUUCGGUCCCUCUUUUUAGCUGCCCUUUAUCCUCUCUCACCUUCUUUUUCAUUUCU
This 225-nucleotide long non-coding RNA is filed under the name Elaeis guineensis (African oil palm). Its description in RNAcentral is "long non-coding RNA (EGUI_LNC046976)". The record is from RNAcentral. Lineage: Eukaryota; Viridiplantae; Streptophyta; Magnoliopsida; Arecales; Arecaceae.